AUAAAUACUUGAAUCAACACAUUGAAUGGUAGCAAUUAAAGCACUUUGAGUACCAUUCAUCAUCCUUUUUUUACUUCUUUGAUACUUAAAAGUUAAGAUCUAGAUCUACAGUGAAUAAUAGCACAAUUUGGUAACUACUCAGCCAACUGGAAUACGUGAGAAUAAUCAAAAAAAGAAAAUAGAACCAAUUAGAAUGUCUAAUCCAAACUAGUACAGUUGUUUUUAUCAAGGCAAGAUAUGAGUAGUGAUCAAUAGAGCCAGAUCUAGUACAUGAGUAGGAUAAUUGGCAAUGGCUGUCGACAGUAGUAUUGCUCAUCAGAAACAUUAAAUCUUUAUAAUCAGUGCAUAGGAAUAGAUCUAGAUAUACAGAUUCUAGAUGUAUAGUCAGUAUAGAUCAUAGAAUACAGAUAUAAGAGUCUAGGUCUAUUGUUAUUAUAUAAAGUAGAUAUAAACUAGAUAUAGAUUAAACUGAUUAGACAUUAGUAAAGAUAAAGUUGAUCUUAAAAGAAUGAUCUGUGGGCCAAGCACUUCCAAUCAUGAUUCACAAAUGAAGAAGCUAAGGGCUAAGACUUAAGACGAAGUUAAAAAGUCAGGAAGUCACAUUUAUCACUUAGUGAUUUAGAUUAGCCAUGAACAAGCUAAGUCAGAUGAAGCUAAUGAUCAUCUAGAUCUAUUAUUACCCAGAAUUCCUUGCUGUC
Biomphalaria pfeifferi is the source of this 698-nucleotide non-coding RNA. Lineage: Eukaryota; Metazoa; Mollusca; Gastropoda; Planorbidae. The record is from the annotation of a GenBank genome assembly.